AUGAACGCUGACAGAAUGCUUUACACAUGCAAGUCGAUGGGGAAGUGGUGCUUGCACCAUGGCAACCAUGGCGGACGGGUGAGUAACGCGUAAGGGACUUACCUGCAGGACUGGGAUAACAGGGGGAAACUCCUGACAAGACCGGAUAAUGUCAUGGAGCUGCAUGGCUUUAUGAUGAAAGGAGACGCCUGCGGAGAGCCUUGCGUCCUAUUAGCUAGUUGGUGAGGUAAUGGCUCACCAAGGCGAAGAUAGGUAGCCGGCCUGAGAGGGUGGACGGCCACAAGGGGACUGAGAUACGGCCCUUACUCCUACGGGAGGCAGCAGUGGGGAAUAUUUGACAAUGGGGGCAACCCUGAUCCAGCAAUUCUGUGUGCACGAAGAAGGUUUUCGGAUUGUAAAGUGCUUUCAGCAGGGAAGAAGUAAGUGACGGUACCUGCAGAAGAAGCGACGGCUAAAUACGUG
RNAcentral lists this ribosomal RNA (462 nucleotides) under uncultured bacterium. RNAcentral's name for it is "partial 16S ribosomal RNA". It matches the Rfam family "Bacterial small subunit ribosomal RNA", at positions 29 to 507 of the family's 1533-position model. The record is from RNAcentral.